GACGAACGCUGGCGGCGUGCUUAACACAUGCAAGUCGAACGGAAAGGCCCUGGUUUUGUGGGGUGCUCGAGAGGCGAACGGGUGAGUAACACGUGAGUAACCUGCCCUUGACUUUGGGAUAACUUCAGGAAACUGGGGCUAAUACCGGAUAGGAGCUCCUGCUGCAUGGUGGGGGUUGGAAAGUUUCGGCGGUUGGGGAUGGACUCGCGGCUUAUCAGCUUGUUGGUGGGGUAGUGGCUUACCAAGGCUUUGACGGGUAGCCGGCCUGAGAGGGUGACCGGCCACAUUGGGACUGAGAUACGGCCCAGACUCCUACGGGAGGCAGCAGUGGGGAAUAUUGCACAAUGGGCGGAAGCCUGAUGCAGCAACGCCGCGUGCGGGAUGACGGCCUUCGGGUUGUAAACCGCUUUCGCCUGUGACGAAGCGUGAGUGACGGUAAUGGGUAAAGAAGCACCGGCUAACUACGUG
Molecule: ribosomal RNA, 468 nt
Filed under: uncultured bacterium
Lineage: Bacteria
Description: partial 16S ribosomal RNA
Rfam family: Bacterial small subunit ribosomal RNA
Source: RNAcentral